UACGUAGGGGGCAAGCGUUGUCCGGAUUUAUUGGGCGUAAAGAGCGUGUAGGCGGUUUGGUAGGUCCGCUGUGAAAACUCGAGGCUCAACCUCGAGACGCCGGUGGAAACCAUCAGACUAGAGUCCGGAAGAGGAGAGUGGAAUUCCUGGUGUAGCGGUGAAAUGCGCAGAUAUCAGGAAGAACACCCGAGGCUAAGGCGGCUCUCUAGUACGGUACUGACGCUGAGACGCGAAAGCGUGGGGAGCGAACAGG
Molecule: ribosomal RNA, 253 nt
Filed under: uncultured bacterium
Lineage: Bacteria
Description: partial 16S ribosomal RNA
Rfam family: Bacterial small subunit ribosomal RNA
Source: RNAcentral